RNAcentral lists this ribosomal RNA (465 nucleotides) under Triticum aestivum (bread wheat). Its description in RNAcentral is "partial small subunit ribosomal RNA". The record is from RNAcentral. Lineage: Eukaryota; Viridiplantae; Streptophyta; Magnoliopsida; Poales; Poaceae.
AUGAUCCAUCCAAAGAAGCUUGCUCAGCUGGCCAAGAAGUGCCAGCGGAUGUUGGCAGCCGGGACCGGUGCUCGCCACCGGCAGCAUGCCUCAGACAUGGUCGAUGAUGAUUGCUGCAGCACAGCGUCAUCUGUGGUUGCCGAUGAGGGCCACUGCAUGGUGUACAGCACCGACGGAGCACGGUUUGAGGUCCCUCUGGCGUACCUCGGGACGACGGUCUUCGCCAAGCUCCUGAGGAUGUCUGAGGAGGAGUUUGGGUUCGCAAGCGGCAGCGAUGGAGGCAGGAUCACGCUGCCCUGUGACACCAUGGUGAUGGAGUACGUCUUGUGCCUUAUCAGGAGAGAGACCUCUGAGGAGGUUGAGAGGGCAUUCUUGAGCUCUAUUGCUGAGCAUUGCCACAACUACAGUGCUAGUUGUGUGGCGCCAUCGAUGGGACUCAGCCAUCAAUUUGCUCUUUGUACUUAG